RNAcentral lists this transfer RNA (70 nucleotides) under Margaritifera middendorffi. Its description in RNAcentral is "tRNA-Cys". The record is from RNAcentral. Lineage: Eukaryota; Metazoa; Mollusca; Bivalvia; Unionida; Margaritiferidae.
UGUCUUGUAGUAUAUUACUCCCAAUUACUGUAAACUGCAACUUUACCAAAGCCUAAUAGUGCCAAGACAU